RNAcentral lists this ribosomal RNA (155 nucleotides) under Sporobolomyces sp. Vega180. Its description in RNAcentral is "5.8S ribosomal RNA". It matches the Rfam family "5.8S ribosomal RNA". From Rfam's summary of the family: 5.8S ribosomal RNA (5.8S rRNA) is a component of the large subunit of the eukaryotic ribosome. It is transcribed by RNA polymerase I as part of the 45S precursor that also contains 18S and 28S rRNA. Functionally, it is thought that 5.8S rRNA may be involved in ribosome translocation. The record is from RNAcentral. Lineage: Eukaryota; Fungi; Basidiomycota; Microbotryomycetes; Sporidiobolales; Sporidiobolaceae. RNAcentral also lists the same sequence under 1 other name.
AACUUUCAACAACGGAUCUCUUGGCUCUCGCAUCGAUGAAGAACGCAGCGAAAUGUGAUAAGUAAUGUGAAUUGCAGAAUUCAGUGAAUCAUCGAAUCUUUGAACGCAUCUUGCACUCCUUGGUAUUCCGAGGAGUAUGUCUGUUUGAGUGUCAU